RNAcentral lists this long non-coding RNA (1766 nucleotides) under Heterocephalus glaber (naked mole-rat). RNAcentral describes it as "lncRNA (ENSHGLG00100039855.1)". Lineage: Eukaryota; Metazoa; Chordata; Mammalia; Rodentia; Bathyergidae. The record is from RNAcentral.
CCCAUCCCUACCCCCUCUCCUUCUCGCCUGACUCAGCCGACAGCAGGAUGGGAAUGAAGGGCGCCCCACCAGCGUCCUCCAAUUUCCCGCUAUUCAGCUCAGACCUGAGUAGCAGCAGGCAGCCGAAAGGAUUUGCAGGUCAGCAGCCACUUGGCUCUGGAAGCAGCUGCAGAUGUGUGGCCACACCAGCACCAGGGGACCCUAUUGUGCAUCUAUGCUGGGCUGGAAGACUGCAAAACCACUUGGCAGAAGACAUAAAUGAGAAAUCCUGUACCAAGUAAGGAUGAAAAGAAGAAUUGGAAACAAGUAUGCAAUCGGCCACCAACUAUCGAAUGGAAGCAAUAAAAAAGAACUCAACCAGGGCCGGGGAUUUAGCCCAAUGGUUCUGCCGCCUGCCUUGCAAGUGCAAGGAUCCAAGUUCGAUCCCUGGUACCAAAAAAAAAUUGUUUGUGCAAAAAGAACUCAACCCUACCCAUGCUCAUGCCUACACACUCUCGCACACCUUCCCUCUCUCUCCCUCAGAGGGACUCAGUUCCAAGGUGUGAAUACACCAAGUCUGCCCUCCUCAGGGCUGCCGUGCAUGUCAGAUGAGAAGAUGCAGGGAUGGUGCCUGCAGACGUGAACACACUCCACGCAUGUGGAUGAAGUAUCACUUGACCCCAAUUCUUCUCUCAGGGAGAAGGAAGCUCCUGCUGGGUCCUGAAGCUUCUUAGUUUUCUAGUUAGUUUCCUUUUGUUCCUCUCCAAAGCUCUGCUUACCCAGGAGAAUAAUGUCAACACUUAUGAUGCCAUUUUAAUCAUCCCAGGGGCAUUGAUCAUUAUUAUGAAUCCCAAAAUAGCUGAGCUAUUCAUGUUUGACAGUGCGAUCAUGCAGGGCUAUACAUCAUGGAACCUUCAAUGGAGGAUAUGCCUUGGUUUUCCAUGCACCUUCUCAUCUGUCGUCUCACAGAGAGGAGGUAUUCUCCCGAUUAUAGGGGUCCAAAACCAGGGGCCAAGGUGGGUCUGAUCACUCACCAGCUGGAGGACUGUGCUGGAAGGAUGGGCGCAGGUCCCUUCUCUGUUUCAGCAUGAGAUUUGCACACUGAGGGAAGUGUACGGCACCCCACACACACACACACUGUGGGCUCCAUCUUUUCUCCCUAGCAUUGAGGUUUAAGGUUCCCACCUCCUUCCCAGCCCUGUUUCCUGGUCCCACCACCUCCUCCCCUGGGUCUUGCUCAACAAUGACCUUUUGGCAUCUCUGCCUCUCCCUCUGCACAGCUUCCACCUUGCCUCCCUGACAGGUGUGUUCAUGCCCCGACCACAUACCACCUGCUCCAGACGGAUGCCCUCUCUGUUGCCCUCCCUGGCUCAGAUGCUCCUGAAAGCAGAGUCCGGGAUCCAGGCCUAGGGACAGGCACAAACUUAAGUAUCUACAUGGGUUGAAUUGUGUCCUCCCCAAGGCUAUGCUCAAGGUCUAACCUCUCAUUCCUGUGGAUGGAUCUUACUUAGGAAGAGGACCAAGUCCAGAGGAGCUCCCAUAGUGCUUCAGUGGGCUCUAACCCACUGAUGGACUUCCUUAAAAGAAGGAAGAUUUGGACCCAGAAACACUUCGGGAGACCACAAAGGCCUCAUAUUGGAGUAAUGUAUCUAUAAGCCCAAGCAUAAAAAGGAUUGCCAGCAUCACCUGGAAGCCAGUAGAGAGGUCUGGCCCUGACUCUCCCAAGAGCCUUCGGAGGGAACCACCCCUGCCAACACCUUGACUUUGGACUUUACCCUCCAGAACUG